UACGUAGGGGGCUAGCGUUGUCCGGAAUCAUUGGGCGUAAAGCGCGUGUAGGCGGUCCGGUAAGUCCGCUGUGAAAGUCGGGGGCUCAACCCUCGGAUGCCGGUGGAUACUGUCGGGCUUGAGUACGGAAGAGGCGAGUGGAAUUCCUGGUGUAGCGGUGAAAUGCGCAGAUAUCAGGAGGAACACCAGCGGCGAAGGCGGCAUCCUGGCCCGUACCUGACGCUGAGGCGCGAGAGCGUGGGGAGCAAACCGG
Molecule: ribosomal RNA, 253 nt
Filed under: uncultured bacterium
Lineage: Bacteria
Description: partial 16S ribosomal RNA
Rfam family: Bacterial small subunit ribosomal RNA
Source: RNAcentral